GACGAACGCUGGCGGCGUGCUUAACACAUGCAAGUCGAACGGAAAGGCCCUGCUUUUGUGGGGUGCUCGAGUGGCGAACGGGUGAGUAACACGUGAGUAACCUGCCCUUGACUUUGGGAUAACUUCAGGAAACUGGGGCUAAUACCGGAUAGGAGAUCCUGCUGCAUGGUGGGGGUUGGAAAGUUUCGGCGGUUGGGGAUGGACUCGCGGCUUAUCCGCUUGUUGGUGGGGUAGUGGCUUACCAAGGCUUUGACGGGUAGCCGGCCUGGGAGGGUGACCGGCCACAUUGGGCCUGGGAUGCCGGCCAGACUCCUACGGGAGGCAGCAGUGGGGGAUAUUGCACAAUGGGCGGAGGCCUUAUGCAGCAACGCCGCGUGCUGGAUGACGGCCUUCGGGUUGUAACCCGCUUUCGCCUGUGACGAAGCGUGAGUGACGGUAAUGGGUAAAGAAGCACCGGCUAACUACGUG
This 468-nucleotide ribosomal RNA is filed under the name uncultured bacterium. Its description in RNAcentral is "partial 16S ribosomal RNA". It matches the Rfam family "Bacterial small subunit ribosomal RNA", at positions 28 to 507 of the family's 1533-position model. The record is from RNAcentral.